Molecule: ribosomal RNA, 253 nt
Filed under: uncultured bacterium
Lineage: Bacteria
Description: partial 16S ribosomal RNA
Rfam family: Bacterial small subunit ribosomal RNA
Source: RNAcentral
GACGAACCGUGCGAACGUUGUUCGGAAUCACUGGGCUUAAAGGGCGCGUAGGCGGCUCGCGAGGUCGGGGGUGAAAUCCCACGGCUUAACCGUGGAAGGGCCUUCGAUACGGGCAGACUAGAGUGUGGUAGGGGAGACUGGAAUUCCUGGUGUAGCGGUGAAAUGCGCAGAUAUCAAGAGGAACACCUGAGGUGAAGACGGGUUGCUGGGCUGACACUGACGCUGAGGCGCGAAAGCCAGGGGAGCAAACGGG